ACAACCGGUGCCUUAGGCCUGGCUUUUGCGUUCUGCUGGCCAGCCCCUCGUCCAGGUUGAUGGCACGGCAGCAAAGUUCUUAGCCCCUGCAGCGUGGGCUCCUAAUUUCACGCCAAGUUAAAAAUGCAGCCGAUCGCCCCCACACUUCCAACUUCAGAAACAGUUCUUUUUGGCCCUGGGGUGUGCCAAGGAGAGUGAAGAAUGCCUAACUGCUGGCUCUUCCCCCUUAUCAAUCUAAAUAACCCGUCCUCCCCGGUGCUCUCGCCUGCCUCCAGGAUUCGGGCUUUGAAAGGGUGAGAAGGGGAGAGAGGGACAGAGAGACAGAGAGAAAGAAAGAGAGAGAAGCGGUGCCAACCCCCUGCAACAAUAUAGCACCUUGGAAAUGGCGGGGUCAACGAAAACAGCUCGGUCCAGGCCAAAGCAGCCCGACUGUGAAGCCCUGUGAAGAGGAGUAUUCCUGGGUUAACUCAGCGGACGGUUGUUAUGCACUAUGUUUUUCUUUCUCUCCUCUACCAAGUCCCCCCUCUGAGCUCCACUCAAAUGUGUUUCUAACCAAACUGUCCAAGUUGCAUGGGGGUGGGGGCUGGGAAAUUGACGGAAGAAAGAAAGGUGGAGAGGUUUAAUUAUUUACAAAAUUCUAAGCUCCUUAGCUUUCCAUUAAAAUCUUGUUGAAAAAAUUUGAUUUCAGGCCAGCCCCAGUGGCCUGGUGGUUAAGUUCGGCAUGCUCCACUGUGGUGGCCCAGAUUCGGUUCCCACGUGCAGACCUACACCACUUGUCAGCCAUGCUGUGGCAGUGAGCCACAUCCAAAAUAGAGGAAGAUUGACAGAAGAUGUUAGCUCAGGGUGACUCUGCCUCAGAAAAGAAAAUAAUAAUUUGAUUUCAAUGUGGUUCGUUAGGCUUUUAGCAUUUGUUUUAUGAUCUUUGACUAUAUCAAGAAUGAUUUUUUUAAAAUAUAAGAAAGUUAAAUCUUUGAGAGAGCAGCAUAUUAUUUAAAUUUUAAGUAAUUACUGUUUAGCAGUAUAGAAAAUGAUACAAAAUUUAGCCAAAUUAAAACCACUGAUUUAUUUUUAUUUAUUUUAUUUUUCGGGUGGAAUUAGCAAUUUUUUAAAUGAUUAUGAAACAUAAUGAUGCAUUUUAUGAUAGAAAAUUGGUAAGUACAUAAAAGAAAAAGAAGUUGGGCCUGCGUAGGGUAGGGUUGGAGAAUGGGGGGGUGAUCACUAUAAUUCCACCCUGAUGUGAUUAAUGUUUUUUAACAUUUCAGCAUAUUUUCUUUUUUUCCCCAAUUAUUUUAUUGAAAUAGUAAAGUCUUAUAACAUUGUAUAAUUUUGGGUGUACAUUAUUAUUUAUCAAUUUCUGUAUAGACUGCAUUGUACUCACCACCAGUAGUCUAAUUUUAAUCUGUCAGCGUAUGUAUGUGCCCCUUUACCCCUUUCACCCACCCCCUCCAGUCGCCUGUCGCUCUGGUAACCACUAAUCUGUUCUUUUGGUCCAUGUGUUUGUUUAUCUUCCACAUAUGAGUGAAAUCAUUCUGUAUUUGUCUUUCUCUGUCUAGCUUAUUUUGCCUAACAUCGGACCCUCAAGGUCCAUCCGUGUUGCUACAAAUGGGACGGUUUUGUCUUUUUUGAUGGCUGAGUGCUAUUCCAUUGUGUAUGUAUACCACAUCUUCUUUAUCUGUUCAUCAGUCGAUAGGCACUUGGGUUGCUUCCAUGUCUUGGCUAUUGUGAAUAAUGCUGCAGUGAACAUAGGGGUGCAUAGAUCUCUUUGUAUUGUUGAUUUCAAGUUCUUUGGAUAAAGACCCAGUAGUGGGAUAGCUGGGUCGUAUGGUAUUUCUAUUUUUAAUUUUUUGAGAAAUCUCCAUACCAUUUUCCAUAGUGGCUGCACCAGUUUGCAUUCCCACCAGCAGUGUAUGAGGGUGCCCUUUUCUCCACAUCCUCUCCAACAUUUAAAACCACUGAUUUAUUUUUAUACAAGGGAUAUUUUUAGGUCUCAUUAUGAAUUUGUUUCCAAACAUGCUUUUUAUUAUAGUACAAAUUUUCCUUAAGUUGGCUUAGGUAGUAAUUAAAAAAAAAAAUCCUAAAGAUGUAGAAAGUGUACA
This is a long non-coding RNA of Equus caballus (horse), 2096 nucleotides long. The record is from Ensembl. NCBI's taxonomy places the organism in Eukaryota, Metazoa, Chordata, Mammalia, Perissodactyla, Equidae.